AACGAACGCUGGCGGCAUGCCUAACACAUGCAAGUCGAACGAGACCUUCGGGUCUAGUGGCGCACGGGUGCGUAACGCGUGGGAACCUGCCCUUAGGUUCGGAAUAACUCCCCGAAAGGGGUGCUAAUACCGGAUAAUGUCUUCGGACCAAAGAUUUAUCGCCUUUGGAUGGGCCCGCGUUGGAUUAGCUAGUUGGUAGGGUAAAAGCCUACCAAGGCGACGAUCCAUAGCUGGUCUGAGAGGAUGAUCAGCCACCCUGGGACUGAGACACGGCCCAGACCCUCCGGGAGGGGAGCAGGGGGGAAUUUGGGACAAUGGGCGAAAGCCGGACCCCGCAAUGCCGGGGAAGUUAUGAAGGCUUUAGGUUUGAAAGGCUUUUUUACCCGGGAUGAUAAUGACAUACCCGGGGAAAAAACCCCGGGUAACCUCCGU
This 432-nucleotide ribosomal RNA is filed under the name uncultured bacterium. Its description in RNAcentral is "partial 16S ribosomal RNA". It matches the Rfam family "Bacterial small subunit ribosomal RNA", at positions 29 to 506 of the family's 1533-position model. The record is from RNAcentral.